CCUACGGGUGGCAGCAGUGAGGAAUAUUGGUCAAUGGGCGCGAGCCUGAACCAGCCAAGUAGCGUGAAGGAUGACGGCCCUACGGGUGGUAAACUUCAGUUAUAAAGGAAUAAAGUGAGGCACGUGUGCCAGUUUGUAUGGACUUUAUGAAUAAGGAUCGGCUAACUCCGUGCAAGCAGCCGCGGUAAUACGGAGGAUCCGGGCGUUAUCCGGCUUUAUUGGGUUUCAAGGGAGCGUAGAUGGGUUGUUAAGUCAGUUGUGAAAGUUGGCGGCUCAACCGUAAAAUUGCAAUUGAUACUGGCCGCCUUGAGUACAGUUGAGGUCGGCGUAUUUCGUUGUGUAGCGGUGCCAUGCU
RNAcentral lists this ribosomal RNA (355 nucleotides) under uncultured bacterium. Its description in RNAcentral is "partial 16S ribosomal RNA". It matches the Rfam family "Bacterial small subunit ribosomal RNA", at positions 338 to 690 of the family's 1533-position model. The record is from RNAcentral.